GUAAGGAAUAUUGGGCAAUGGAGGCAACUCUGACCCAGCCAUGCCGCGUGAAGGAUGACGGCCCUAUGGGUUGUAAACUUCUUUUAUACGGGAAUAAACCCGGGUACGUGUACCCGGCUGAAUGUACCGUAAGAAUAAGGAUCGGCUAACUCCGUGCCAGCAGCCGCGGUAAUACGGAGGAUCCAAGCGUUAUCCGGAUUCAUUGGGUUUAAAGGGUGCGUAGGCGGAUUUGUAAGUCAGCGGUGAAAUCCUACAGCUUAACUGUAGAACUGCCGUUGAUACUGCAAGUCUUGAGUACAUUUGAUGUGGGCGGAAUGUGUCAUGUAGCGGUGAAAUGCUUAGAUAUGACACGGAACACCAAUUGCGAAGGCAGCUCACAAAACUGUAACUGACGCUGAGGCACGACAGCGUGGGGAUCAAACAGGAUUAGAAACCCCAGUAGUCC
RNAcentral lists this ribosomal RNA (445 nucleotides) under uncultured bacterium. RNAcentral describes it as "bacterial SSU rRNA". It matches the Rfam family "Bacterial small subunit ribosomal RNA", at positions 354 to 796 of the family's 1533-position model. The record is from RNAcentral.